CGUGGGUUCACAGUCGGAGGUCACCGCGGCCCCAGAGUGCAGACGAGGAGGCCGCAGCUGCUCCGGCUGCUUAGACCGUGGUUCUGGAGCUGGAGGGGGAGAGGAGGAGACAGUGAUUUGAGAAGGGGAUUGUGGCUGGGACAGCGUUAGGGGGUCCUCAAAGGUCUGCAGGGGGGCCCCCCUGUGUUUCAUGCCACAGCCCUCCAGAAGAGUGGAUGACGCUGUCGAUACAGGAGGUAUCUGCAAAGGAGAAGCGAUAUUCAUUCUUGCAGUGUGUGGAUGAGCCGGUGUGGGUUCCACCGGUUCCUGUGGUUUGGCAAGCGGGGAACUCAGAGGCCGGCUGUCCCUGUCUGGAUCUAGAGUUGGUGAUUUAAUGUUGUCAGGUGUGUCUUGAGAGGCUGGGGAAGGGAUGGCUGGUGCAUUGGGGAUAGUUUGGCCUGUGCCGCCUGAUCUGGAGUGGGGAGAGGUGGAAAAUCCUGUAGAGAGGGUUCCACACUCUCCGGGCCCACCUGU
Lates calcarifer (barramundi perch) is the source of this 513-nucleotide long non-coding RNA. RefSeq lists it as uncharacterized. The transcript has 4 exons. The record is from RefSeq and is a predicted model, not a curated record. NCBI's taxonomy places the organism in Eukaryota, Metazoa, Chordata, Actinopteri, Centropomidae.